CCAGACUCCUACGGGAGGCAGCAGUGGGGGAUAUUGCACAAUGGGGGAAACCCUGAUGCAGCGACGCCGCGUGGGCGAAGAAGUAUUUCGGUAUGUAAAGCCCUAUCAGCAGGGAAGAAGAAAUGACGGUACCUGAGUAAGAAGCACCGGCUAAAUACGUGCCAGCAGCCGCGGUAAUACGUAUGGUGCAAGCGUUAUCCGGAUUUACUGGGUGUAAAGGGAGCGCAGGCGGCACGGCAAGCCUGGAGUGAAAGCCCGGGGCCCAACCCCGGAACUGCUCUGGAAACUGUGCGGCUAGAGUACUGGAGGGGCAGGCGGAAUUCCUAGUGUAGCGGUGAAAUGCGUAGAUAUUAGGAGGAACACCAGUGGCGAAGGCGGCCUGCUGGACAGUAACUGACGUUGAGGCUCGAAAGCGUGGGGAGCAAACAGGAUUAGAUACCCUGGUAC
This 447-nucleotide ribosomal RNA is filed under the name uncultured bacterium. Its description in RNAcentral is "bacterial SSU rRNA". It matches the Rfam family "Bacterial small subunit ribosomal RNA", at positions 331 to 793 of the family's 1533-position model. The record is from RNAcentral.